CCCUUAGAGUUUGAUCCUGGCUCAGAAUGAACGCUGGCGGCGUGCUUUACACAUGCAAGUCGAGCGAGGCGGCCCGCAAGGGCCAGUCGAGCGGCGAACGGGUGAGUAACGCGUGGAUGAUCUGCCCUUCAGCGGGGAAUAACCCGGGGAAACUCGGGCUAAUACCGCAUACGACCGAGAGGUGAAAGGGGGCUCGCAAGAGCUUCCACUGAAGGAGGGGUCCGCGUUCGAUUAGCUAGUUGGUAGGGUAAUGGCCUACCAAGGCGACGAUCGAUAGCCGGCCUGAGAGGGUGAUCGGCCACACUGGAACUGAGACACGGUCCAGACUCCUACGGGAGGCAGCAGUGGGGAAUUUUGCGCAAUGGGCUAACGCCUGACGCAGCAACGCCGCGUGGAGGAUGAAGGUCCUUGGAUCGUAAACUCCUGUCAGCAGGGAAAAAGGGACUGGGCCUAAUACGUCCGGAACUUGAUUGUACCUGCAGAGGAAGCCCCGGCUAACUCUGUGCCAGCAGCCGCGGUAAUACAGAGGGGGCGAGCGUUAUUCGGAAUUAUUGGGCGUAAAGGGCGCGUAGGCGGCCAUUCAAGUGAUGGGUGAAAGCCCUCGGCUUAACCGAGGAACUGCCUGUCAGACUGGGUGGCUUGAGACCGGGAGAGGUGAGUGGAAUUCCCAGUGUAGCGGUGAAAUGCGUAGAUAUUGG
This 698-nucleotide ribosomal RNA is filed under the name uncultured bacterium. RNAcentral's name for it is "bacterial SSU rRNA". It matches the Rfam family "Bacterial small subunit ribosomal RNA", at positions 1 to 700 of the family's 1533-position model. The record is from RNAcentral.